UAGAUUGACAGUAGUAUGUAUUUCAUUAUUCAUUGAGGGCACAUGUAUGGAAUUAAUCUUUGACUAGAUAGUAAUAAAUUUUUUGGGUCAAAAUCAGAUAAUAAUAGAUAGAUGGGUGUCACUUAUGGGGCAGACCCAUGUUGAUUUUAGCGUGAGCAUCUGAACAUUUUAAUUUUGUUUUUUAUAACUAAAAUAUAUUAAAAGGAAUAAAGAGGAAUGUAUACCAACGGUAACAAUAUUACAAUAAAUAUUUAAGUUUUCUAGCCUUUUAGACGUUACAGCAGAUCUAAGUACUUAGGAAAAUUUGUUUGUUGGUUUGUACAUUUUAUUAGAUGUUAACUUAGUCGGGAUGUUUUGGUUAUUCCAUAAUGUCUUUGCACUCUAAAAUGUGGGAGUUAAUUUUUUUCUUUUGUAAUAAGAAUUAAAAAAAUAUACAAAAUCAUUUUGAAAAAUCAUCAUAUGAUCAGGAGCGGAGCUUCUCAAGAAUAAGAGGCCGCGGCACCAAGAAAAAAAAAAAUAGAUAAAAUGACUAAAAUGCCCGUAUUAAAACAAAAAAAUUACAAGAAUAUCUAAACCUAAUUCAGUUUUCUCUUUUCUCUUUCUUCUCUCUUCCAUCCAGCCUCUCUCCUUCUCUAUUCUCUUCUCUGAUUCCCUCCCUCUUGCUUACAAGUUAUAGCCGUCCUCUCUCCCUCUUCCAUAAUCAGAUUUACGAAUCAAUCACGACAAACACGCGACCGCCUCUGCUCGCUGUGGGCCUGCGGCGGCCGCCUCUGCCUGACUGCCUCCAUGGUCGUUCCGCCCGUUCGUCGCUCUCGGGCCUGUUCGCUGCAACUCUCCAGAUCGCCUCUGCCUGACUGCUUUGUUCGCUGCAACUCUCAAAAUGAAGAUCUUACUAAGUAUGAUUGGAGAGAGACCGACCACCUAAAUCCGAUUAGAAAUCAAAGGAGAGGAAGAAUUUGAGUUACAAGAUUCAGUGUUCUUAUUUCUCUAGGUUGUUGUUUUGCUUUUGCCAUUUGUGGUGUAUUAGCAUUACACCACAAAGAAAAUGGUGGACAUCGGAUUAUCUUAUCUCCUCAAGAUAUUUAUAAUAAUCUUAUCAAAACUAUAAAAUGAAAGGGGCAUUUAAGUCCGCUACUCUUAAGUCCGCUACUCUUGAGCAAGGCUGAUAUAUUUAGUCGUAUCUAAGGAUAACCGUCAGCCGAUUCAUAAAUCUUACUCUAGAAGUAUCUUUCAAUGAGAAAGACAAAGUGCUGCACAAACAACUACAACUGACAAUUAGGAGAUGGAUCAUCUGAACAUGACUUAAUUUAAUUUUACUGUAAUCGAAGGAUGUCGUAUAUUCUGGUUCGAAUGCAACCGCUUGACAAAGGUUAUGGAAAAAUUGACACAGCACUGUAUCAUUUCGGACGUAACAUAUGAGAAACCUGUGAAUCAUAUUGAACGCCAUUAUUAGUCUAGUAUAUCACGUCAUAGAAAAUUGAAUUGGUCUAUUUUAACUUCUUAACUGCUGUUAUUGUUCUAGUAUGCACUAUUGUUUAGCAUUCUUUGUUGUUGCUUUGGUGUCUUGAAGCACAACAAGAUUUUAUCCGAUAGUGUCAAUUAUUAGGUGGUCUGUGACUUUAAUUUGUUGCUCUUCAGGGUGUUAAUAGAUUUUAUGUUACUCAAUUUGAACUGCUUUCUGAUUAAUAGAUUUUAUAUUACUGAAUUUGAA
Long non-coding RNA from Cicer arietinum (chickpea), 1711 nucleotides. RefSeq lists it as uncharacterized. NCBI's taxonomy places the organism in Eukaryota, Viridiplantae, Streptophyta, Magnoliopsida, Fabales, Fabaceae. The record is from RefSeq and is a predicted model, not a curated record.